AGGGCAGUGGCUCAAUUGGUAGAGCAGCGGUCUCCAAAACCGCAGGUUGCAGGUUCGAGUCCUGUCUGCCCUGC
RNAcentral lists this transfer RNA (74 nucleotides) under freshwater metagenome. Its description in RNAcentral is "tRNA-Trp". It matches the Rfam family "tRNA". Rfam says of the family: Transfer RNA (tRNA) molecules are approximately 80 nucleotides in length. Their secondary structure includes four short double-helical elements and three loops (D, anti-codon, and T loops). The record is from RNAcentral.